This 496-nucleotide ribosomal RNA is filed under the name uncultured bacterium. RNAcentral describes it as "partial 16S ribosomal RNA". It matches the Rfam family "Bacterial small subunit ribosomal RNA", at positions 899 to 1397 of the family's 1533-position model. The record is from RNAcentral.
ACUCAAAUGAAUUGACGGGGGCCCGCACAAGCGGUGGAGCAUGUGGUUUAAUUCGACGCAACGCGCAGAACCUUACCAGGCCUUGACAUCCCACGCGAUCCGGAGAGAUCCGGAGUUCCCUUCGGGGACGUGGAGACAGGUGCUGCAUGGCUGUCGUCAGCUCGUGUCGUGAGAUGUUGGGUUAAGUCCCGCAACGAGCGCAACCCUCGCCUUUAGUUGCCAUCAUUCAGUUGGGCACUCUAGAGGGACUGCCGGUGACAAGCCGGAGGAAGGUGGGGAUGACGUCAAGUCCUCAUGGCCCUUACGGCCUGGGCUACACACGUGCUACAAUGGCGGUGACAGAGAGCAGCGACCUAGCGAUGGGUAGCCAAUCUUGAAAAACCGUCUCAGUUCAGAUUGCACUCUGCAACUCGGGUGCAUGAAGGUGGAAUCGCUAGUAAUCGCAGAACAGCAGGCUGCGGUGAAUACGUUCCCGGGCCUUGUACACACCGCCCGU